GGAGAACAGCCCCUGUUCCUCUUCCCUAGCCAGGUUCUCACACGUCCCUGAGGAACUAGAGAGGAACGCCUCUGGGAAGCCCAGCCAGAGCCAACCGGAAGGGCCUUUUGGUGAAGUCUGACAUCCUACAUUAGUUUCUCUGGACCUGGCAGAGCUCCCUGGAUAAAUCAUGAACAGAAGCAUCUAUGACCGACAGUUGCUCUGUGUCCUUCUAGCCUCGCAGGAGUUUCCAGCUCAUGAGGGCAGAGGAGAUGAAGAGAGGCCGAUCGACGUGAGGGUUGUGCAGGCGGCCCCUCUGAGGUGUGACUCCAGUAAGUACUCUGGAAUUACUUGCUGAGAAAGAAAAGUCUGGAUGCCAAGAAAGGUGUGACAUCCUUGCUGGCUUCAAUGUGAAGAGCCACCCUGAUUCUGGGAUUCUGAUAGGAAUAAGGAUGAUGCAUAUCUGAACCUGGAAACCGCUUCCCACUGUAGAGCGUGUCUGAGUCAUGUCCCUUAGCUUCAGCAGAGCAGAUCCAGCAGGCUCUGAGCUUGGCCUCUUUGCCUGGAGCGAGACCUCUAGGUAAUGUCUCCAGAGAGGGUGGCACAAAGGAUCCUGGAUCUCCUGAUCACAGCAGCCCAAGAGUGCCGUGCGUGCACCAUGGCUCAAGAAGAAGACUUAAAAAGGGGAAAGUAUGACUAUUUCUAAUCUGUAGUAUUUCAG
This 700-nucleotide long non-coding RNA is filed under the name Homo sapiens (human). RNAcentral describes it as "non-protein coding lnc-CIDEA-2:5". The record is from RNAcentral. Lineage: Eukaryota; Metazoa; Chordata; Mammalia; Primates; Hominidae.